Molecule: long non-coding RNA, 630 nt
Organism: Salvia splendens (bonfire salvia)
Lineage: Eukaryota; Viridiplantae; Streptophyta; Magnoliopsida; Lamiales; Lamiaceae
Exons: 2
Source: RefSeq, a predicted model, not a curated record
CCAUAUCUCUCUCUCUCUAGGUUUCAUUCAUGGUGUUGGUGGUGCUCUAGCAUCUGCUGAAGCUGCCAGCAUGAUCUAAACCUCCCUCCUAGUUGAGGAAAGAUCAGAUCAUGUGGUAGCUUCAUCUGAUACUACUUGCGCUUUUAUUUACACACAUAAUAUAAACCCUAGUUUUUCAACAACCUAGCUUUACCUUUUUUUCUUUGUCUUUCCCCUACCUAACCUCUCUCUCUAUAUAUAUACACACACACACACACACAUAUAUCUAUAGCUAGCCUCGCUGAAAAAGCACAGAAUCUGAGUGAAUAAUGCAAGCUUGAGAUGUUGUCUCAUCUUUAGGUACUAUUAAUGCUGCUGCAUCUUCAUCUGUAUUUUCUCUUGGCCUCAUUUGGAUCAUCACUCUGCCCACUGUCCCCACACUCACAUGACUAUUCCUUCCAUCCAGACACCUCGUGAUCUUUAUAUCCAGUUUCUUGUUUUAUAUGGUUGAUUAAUUGUGAUCAAUAUUGAUUAUUGAGUCUCAUAUGUAAACUACAUAAAUUCAUUGAACUAUUAUAUAUUGAAUUUUUUUUUAUAAUAUACUGUAUAACAUUAAUGGUAUAUGUCACAGAUUAAUUAAACUUUGUUCAA